UUUCAAAGCCACAGCAGCAAUUAGGAUACCUAAAGUUUUCCUCACAGGUCAAAAUUAACACAUUCUUUGGGCUUUUAGAAAUGCACAUGAUUAAUUCUAAGUGCUGUGGUGACAACAGUCCAAGGUUAAUUGUAAGAUUGAGGUGACACAGACUUGAUCAGUGGCUAUUUGUAGUGGUAUAUAAGUGUCACCUCAAAGGUAAAAGAAAAAUAGUCUGUGCGGUCUAUAUGCUCUACUAUAUACAUAGAGCUGUGUGGCGGAGGUGUGGUCCCUGGCUCAGCUGCAGGGGAGGAGUGGUGCAGUGAGCUCAAGGGGGCGGUACCAAGAGGCAGGUGAGCCACAGGUGGUGGCGUUUGACUGAUGACUGUGUCUCUUUUUUAUGUUUCUCUAUAUAGUGAAGGCAGAGUCGAGCGGGGAAGAGAGAGAGCUGGACUGGAACGGACUGUUUUCCUUGAGUGCACAACUGUCAAUAAAAAGCAAUAAUAGUGAGCACAAUCACCGUGUGUGUCGUGUAUUUUUACAAGCUGUAAUUAUUGCCUCUGUGUUUGUAGCUGUAGUUGUUAUCAGCUGUACAGCUACAUAGCCUAAUUCUCCAAUAUAAAGUCCUUGGGGUGGGAAAUGUGUCGUCUUUUUGGGUAAUUCUAUGGUGAGGAGGGUAGUUCUUCCAAAUGUGCAGCUGAAAAUCAAUUGUAAGGUUAAAGUGUACUGUAUGCACACUAUUUUUUUUUUUUUUUUUUUUGUGCACUUUUGUCAAGGUUGCAAGUGCAGGACUCAUGCUGGGUAAAAGUCAAAAGGUGGUUUAUUUACAAACGUGACCAAAUGUGGAAUAUAUAUACAUAUAUACAGUGCAGGGUGGGAAACAGGGGAAGGUCCAAACUUCUCUUCACACAGCCAGUGAUUCACAACAAUCCACUCAGACUCAUGCUCAUCCACUCGAGGUCCAUGAAGAAGGCAAACAGGGAAGGGUCCAGGGAAGUCUGUGCACACGAAGAGAAGUUGACGUUAGCAAAGAGCACUGGGAAAACACAAGGAAAUAACAAGGCAAGCUGGAUUACACUGACAGAGGUUAGUACAAGGAUCCGGCAAAGAAUCACUAAGUAGCGCCGGAAUAAUCAUCAGCGAUGGAUGGCAGGUGAGUAGAUCUGCACAGAUGAGUACGGAGGUGGGGACCAGAGCCAGACUCGGCCCUGACGGUGAGGAGUGAAGGAAAACAACAACAAAACAACCCAGAAAAAAAAACUGGGACCAUGACAACUUAAAUUUAUGAAUGCAUAAAUUAGUAACAUCUUUUUUGCUGGGUCUUCAACUAACAGUCUUUACAUGAGAUUCUUUGAUUGAAGCCAGUGAAGAUUGAGGCACUGUAUUUCAUUUGUAAAUGUAUAAGGUUUAAGAGGGGAUAUUAAAAGCUCAUCUUGUUGUUAAUAAAAGAGAAAGUCUACAUGUUUUUGUUUUGCAUUUUGUGACUUGCAUUUGAAAUUCAAACAAACAGAAAAUGUCAAGGCAUUCCAUUUAGCAUGAGCCGCAGCAGGGAGCGUG
Astatotilapia calliptera (eastern happy) is the source of this 1536-nucleotide long non-coding RNA. Lineage: Eukaryota; Metazoa; Chordata; Actinopteri; Cichliformes; Cichlidae. The record is from Ensembl.